This 898-nucleotide long non-coding RNA is filed under the name Homo sapiens (human). RNAcentral describes it as "long independently transcribed non-coding RNA 2253, transcript variant 4 (LINC02253)". Lineage: Eukaryota; Metazoa; Chordata; Mammalia; Primates; Hominidae. The record is from RNAcentral.
AGCAAUUAGCAAGACUCCGUGGGCGUAGGACCCUCCGAGCCAGGUGCGGGUUAUAAUCUACUGGUGCGCCGUGUUUUAAGCCCGUGGAAAAGCACAGUAUUAGGGUGGGAGUGACCCGAUUUUCCAGGUGCCGUCGGUCACCCCUUUCUUUGACUAGGAAAGGGAACUCCCUGACCCCUUGCGCUUCCCGAGUGAGGCAAUGUCUCGCCCUGCUUUGGCUCGCGCAUGGUGCGCUGCACCCACUGUCCUGCGCCCACUGUCUGGCACUCCCUAGUGAGAUGAACGCGGUACCUCAGAUGGAAAUGCAGAAAUCACCUGUCUUCUGCGUCACUCAUGCUGGGAGCUGUAGACCCGAGCUGUUCCUGUUCGUCCAUCUUGGCUGUAAUCCCAGGUUCAUCAAAAUAAGAUAUGAUCAAGGUACAAAAGAGUUAAAGAAGCUAUUUAUUUUAAUGUUUCCUUGGAGAGCACACUUGUUAUUAUGCCUGCCCCAGCUUUGCCUUCCACCAUGAGUAAAAGCUUCCCAAGUCCUCCCCAGAAGCAGAUGCUGGCGCUAUGCUUCUGGUACAGCCUGAAAAACCUUGAGCCAAUUAAACCUCAGUGAGCUCAAGAUGUCUUUGUUGAAACAGAACCUCCCGAAGUUACAGUAUUGGUUUUGGGGCUCCACACAGAGAACACAUCACGGAAGCUAUAAUUGAGGAAGACAAAGCUGUCAGGACGACACCAAGAGAGUUAGAAAGCCCAAGAGUGGAGCAUUCUUCACCAUGAUUCCACCUGACACUUGGCUGAAAGCAUUUUGCACUAAUUUGCUUUGUGCCCGUUCAGACAAUCUAAAAAGAAAGGAUGGGGGGACAACAAGUGUCUAUUACACAGAAUAAACAGCCUCUGGCAAAUGAAUACA